RNAcentral lists this transfer RNA (78 nucleotides) under Nocardioides sp. IC4_145. Its description in RNAcentral is "tRNA-OTHER". The record is from RNAcentral. Lineage: Bacteria; Bacillati; Actinomycetota; Actinomycetes; Propionibacteriales; Nocardioidaceae.
GGGCGCAGCUGGUAGCGGCUCUGCCGAUCCUGGGCAAUGGCAUGCAGAGGGUCAGGGGUUCGAGUCCCCUCAGCUCCA